RNAcentral lists this long non-coding RNA (231 nucleotides) under Brassica napus (rape). RNAcentral's name for it is "long non-coding RNA (BNAP_LNC013454)". Lineage: Eukaryota; Viridiplantae; Streptophyta; Magnoliopsida; Brassicales; Brassicaceae. The record is from RNAcentral.
AAAAUUCUGGUUAUUGAAAACCUAAACUCUCAUUUAAGCACAAAACAACUGAUGUAAAAACUAUUUAUCAUAUGUACUUAGUUGUAUUAGGCGGUAAUUUAAGUAAAAAGAGAGCGAGGUAUGGGUAAGUAUGGAUUCUUACCUCUGAAAACAAAAAAAAAAAAAUAUUAAAUAUAUCUCAAUAAUAGUAAUCCAAAAAUGUUUAAAAUUGUGUCUUUUGUUCUUUAAAGU